Molecule: small nuclear RNA, 107 nt
Organism: Cercocebus atys (sooty mangabey)
Lineage: Eukaryota; Metazoa; Chordata; Mammalia; Primates; Cercopithecidae
Source: Ensembl
GUGUUCACUUUGGCAGCACAUAUACUAAAAUUGGAAUGAUGCAGAGAAUAUUAGCAUGACUCCUGUGCAGGAAUGACAUGCAAAUUUGUGAAGCAUUCCAUACUAUA